RNAcentral lists this ribosomal RNA (318 nucleotides) under Triticum aestivum (bread wheat). Its description in RNAcentral is "partial small subunit ribosomal RNA". Lineage: Eukaryota; Viridiplantae; Streptophyta; Magnoliopsida; Poales; Poaceae. The record is from RNAcentral.
AUGGGCAAUAUUGAAACUGUACUUUCCAGUAGUAUCGCUGCUGUUUUUUUUGCAGCUUUCGUAGUUGCUGGAACUAUGUGGUAUGGGUCAGCAACGACUCCAAUCGAAUUAUUUGGGCCUACUCGUUAUCAGUGGGCCGAAAAUCUUAGUUUAUCAGAAGCUUGGUCUAAAAUUGCCGAAAAAUUAGCCUUUUAUGAUUAUACUGGUAAUAAUCCGGCAAAAGGGGGAUUAUUCAGAGCAGGUUCAAUCGACAAUGGGGAUGGAAUAGCUGUUGAAUGGUUAGGACAUCCCGUCUUUAGAGAUAAAGAAGGACGUUAG